This 930-nucleotide unclassified non-coding RNA is filed under the name Hevea brasiliensis (rubber tree). The record is from RNAcentral. Lineage: Eukaryota; Viridiplantae; Streptophyta; Magnoliopsida; Malpighiales; Euphorbiaceae.
AAAUUUCAAAUUGAACCUAAAAAUCUUAACUUCAAAAAUUCAUAGAAAUUGUUAUGUACCUUAUUUGAGAAUGUUCCAAGAAUUAAAGAUGUUCAAAAUUAUCUACAUAAUCUAGGAAAAAUGUUUAAAAAUAGAACUUUAAUUGAACCUAAAAAUCUAAAUAUGCUAUGUAACUUAAACAAUUCAUAAAAUUAUUAUUUACCUUAUUUGAGAAUGGUGCACAAAUUAAAGAUGCUCACAAUCAUAUACAUAAUCUAGGAAAAAUGUUAAAAAAAUAGAAUUUUAAAAUUGACACCUAAAAAUCUAAAAUACGCUAAUUAAAUUCAAAAAUUCAUAGAAAAAAUGGUCCAAGAAUUAAAGAUGCUCAAAAUAAUCUAUAUAAUCUAGCAAAAAUAUUUAAAAAAAUUGAAAAAUUUUAAAUCGAAUGGGAAUUGGAUUUAACUGCCGGUUUGAACUGGCCAAUUUUGGGCUGGCUCAUGGGAGGGGGAACCGUAACCAAACCAGCCCGCCCCUCCCACUGUCCCUAUCUGGGGCUCAAGGGCCAGAACCGUUGAGCGGGUCCGAUAUGGGUUUGACUCAGACCAGUCUCAAUCCCGUUUACGGUCUGAACCGGAUUGUGGCCAGGCCUAGUUGUGCUUGUUAAAAUGAGGACAAAAGUCAUAAGUAAUGGGUACCUUAUGACUUUUGACUUUAAGCUACUUCUAUAUAUAUAAAUAUAUAUUAAACAUUAUUAACUUUGCUUGAAAAGAUUAAAUAUUAUUAAACAUUAUGUUGGGAUUCACUAGAAUCAAUCCAGUGCAUUUCAGUUGCUAUAUCCUGAUGUGGCACUAAUAAUAAACCAGAUUAUGUUUGCACUGCUACCAUUGUUGCUCCAAGAAAAAACUACUUUAUAUAAUCAUUAUGGCAGAAAGAAUUUAAUUGAAUUAUCGC